Molecule: ribosomal RNA, 246 nt
Filed under: uncultured prokaryote
Description: partial 16S ribosomal RNA
Rfam family: Bacterial small subunit ribosomal RNA
Source: RNAcentral
UUAAAGAAGAAUACAAUGACGGUACUUAAGGUAAAGCAUCGGCUAACUCCGUGCCAGCAGCCGCGGUAAGACGGGGGAUGCAAGUGUUAUCCGGAAUUACUGGGCGUAAAGCGUCUGUAGGUGGUUUUUUAAGUCUACUGUUAAAUCUUGAGGCUUAACCUCAAAUCUGCAGUAGAAACUAAGAGACUAGAGUUUAGGAGGGGUAGAGGGAAUUUCCAGUGGAGCGGUGAAAUGCGUAGAGAUUGG